UACGAAGGGGGCUAGCGUUGCUCGGAAUUCACUGGGCGUAAAGCGCACGUAGGCGGCUUUUUAAGUCGGAGGUGAAAUCCUGGAGCUCAACUCCAGAACUGCCUUUGAUACUGGAGAGCUUGAGUCCGGGGAGAGGUGAGUGGAACUGCGAGUGUAGAGGUGAAAUUCGUAGAUAUUCGCAAGAACACCAGUGGCGAAGGCGGCUCACUGGCCCGGUACUGACGCUGAGGUGCGAAAGCGUGGGGAGCAAACAGGG
RNAcentral lists this ribosomal RNA (256 nucleotides) under uncultured bacterium. RNAcentral's name for it is "partial 16S ribosomal RNA". It matches the Rfam family "Bacterial small subunit ribosomal RNA", at positions 524 to 777 of the family's 1533-position model. The record is from RNAcentral.